UACGUAUGGGGCAAGCGUUAUCCGGAUUUACUGGGUGUAAAGGGAGCGCAGGCGGCACGGCAAGCCUGAUGCGAAAGCCCGCGGCCCAACCGCGGGACUGCAUUGGGAACUACCGGGCUGGAGUGCCGGAGAGGUAGGCGGAAUUCCUAGUGUAGCGGUGAAAUGCGUAGAUAUUAGGAGGAACACCAGUGGCGAAGGCGGCCUACUGGACGGUGACUGACGCUGAGGCUCGAAAGCGUGGGGAGCAAACAGG
RNAcentral lists this ribosomal RNA (253 nucleotides) under uncultured bacterium. RNAcentral describes it as "partial 16S ribosomal RNA". It matches the Rfam family "Bacterial small subunit ribosomal RNA", at positions 524 to 776 of the family's 1533-position model. The record is from RNAcentral.